GCUGGGCACUGGGGCUGGUGCCUGUGAUCCCAGCUCCCAGGGAGGCUAAGGCUGGUGGAUCGCUUGAGCUCAGGAGUUCCCGGCUGUGCUGAUCGGGUGUCCUCACUAAGUUUGGCAUCAAUAUGGUGAUCCCUGGGAAGCUUGGGGUCCCCAGGUUGCCUAAGGAGAGGUGAACCAGCCCAGGUUGGAAACGAAGCAGGUCAAAACUCCUGUGCCGAUCAGUAGUUGGAUCAUGCCUGUGAAUUAGCACUGCAGUGUAGCCUGGGCAAGACAGUGAGACACAGUCUCUU
Gopherus evgoodei (Goodes thornscrub tortoise) is the source of this 290-nucleotide unclassified non-coding RNA. It matches the Rfam family "Metazoan signal recognition particle RNA". Rfam says of the family: The signal recognition particle (SRP) is a universally conserved ribonucleoprotein. It is involved in the co-translational targeting of proteins to membranes. The record is from Ensembl. Lineage: Eukaryota; Metazoa; Chordata; Testudines; Testudinidae.